This 21-nucleotide non-coding RNA is filed under the name Arabidopsis thaliana (thale cress). Lineage: Eukaryota; Viridiplantae; Streptophyta; Magnoliopsida; Brassicales; Brassicaceae. The record is from RNAcentral.
CUGAGGGUCGGCAAUCGGGCG